CCUGCCUGGCCGCCCCGCGCGGGGUCCUGAGGCGCCUCGGGGAAACUCUGCGAUUGGUUGCAGCUUGUGGCUGGAGUUCGGCUCCAGCAGCGCUUGACAACCGCAGUCUGCCAAAGACUGAACUGGGCGGUCGCCGGCCCGGGAGGGGCGGAGGCGAGAAGGACGGGCUGACGAACUGAUGGACUGACGCGCGGGUGGCUGGAGGGAGGACCGACGCCAACCCCUUACCGCCGCCCUUGCGCUCCUUCCCCAGCCCGGAGCCGGCAGCUUCGGGCCCCAGCCGUCGGCCUCGCAGCUGCGUUCCCUUCGCCACUUCUGCGGGCUCAUCUCGGAGCCCUCAGGUGAGAGACUACGGGAGGCGGGGGCGGGCCGCUGCACACCUCUGUUGCCAUGGUCACCCGUCGCCACCUGUCACCCGCUGACUGGGCUCUGACCCCUCAGCCCAGAGAGUAGCUUUCGAGGCCCAUGAGAAGGGGCUUUGGGUAGGUUUGGGUGGUGCUUGGGUGGAGACGGAUCGUGGGUGAGCCCCGGCGCUGCAGGAUGGGGACCUGGGAACUGCCAGGCCUCCAUUCGAGGCCGCCGCUCCUGGACCACACCUUUCCCACUUUGCCAGCGCGGUUCUAGGGGCAGAGCGACGCCCCCCGCGCUGGAACGAGCAGCUAGCGACCGCAGCGUUCUUGGCCACCACGCUGCUGCUGAGGGGCGGGAAGCAGACAGACUGCGCUGCUGCUUCCUUCCUCGCCGCUCUGCGGAGCGGGUGCCAGAACUGAGGGGAGCGCUCGCGUCCCUUUCUGGGCACGCCUUGGCCUGGAGGCGGAGAGGGAGCGGCGGUACUGGGGGCCGGGCGGGUGCCUGGGGCAGCCGAGCGGGGCCGGGUUUGGUCUUUCUGACGUCAGUGGUCAGUAAGAGUAGGCUUUGGGGUGUCUCAGAGUGGUGCAGAGACUGGAUUUGGAACGGGGGGUUGUACUCAGGGCGCCUGCGUAGAAGAAAGGGGAGGUUGUAGAAUAGAAUUCAUAGGGUUAAGCCUUCCCUGUAUUGGGGAGAAAAAGAUGGGGGCUCUAGCUCUGGGGCGAGGCCUUUAAUAAAAGGGGCGGGGGCGAAGGUAGGUAGAGCUUUUGACCAGAUGUUGUUUUUUUUUUUUUUCUUUUCUAUACCCAGACGUGCUGUUGGUAACCACGCACGGUUUCUGAGAGGAGCUUUUUUGGCAACUUGGUUCUCUUUGCAUAAUGAAAGGAGAAGUCUUUGUUCCACCCAGAUUCAUAGGCUGUGAUCCUCACUUAUUUUCUUUCCUUUGUUGUAAAGUUCAUAGAAUGCUUAAAAAGUUAGUGCCGCAGAAAUUAACAUGUAGGUUUUAAAAAUGUUAUAAAUCUUUUUUUCACGGCAAAUCUAGUUAGAAUAUUUUUUUUUAAAUUUUUUGUCUCUAGUGUUGGCAAGUGUUGCAUUGACAUUUUACUAGGCAGGAAAACCGCCCCAAAGCCCAUUUUCCCUUUAUAUGGCACAUUCUCUAGGUCUAUUUAGGAAGAAGAUGUUACAAAUUAUUUUAUCAUAGUUUUUUGGAGGAUGUAGAUUGUUUCCAGCAGGAAAGAAAUUAAUGUACAAUUAUGGGAAAGACAGGAAGAAAGCCAUAACAGUAUAUUAAGGUAAAAAACCAAAAAAUAAACAUUUGAAUUUGGAUGUCUAUUAUUAUUAUGAGGGGAUUUUUAACCUGUGUUUAUUUCCCACCUUUUUACCUCCCUGUUUUCUUAUAAUAAAAAGGAGUAGUAGGGGACUGGGAUACAGAGCAUUUGCCCAGCAUUGAUGGGGCCCUGGGUUCAAACCCAAGAACCAGGACAAAACAAACAAAAACCAGUACUAGGAAUGUAUCAAAAGAGACAAGAAUAGUAUCCUGUAUUUCUAAUUAUAUAAUUAUGUUUAGUCUCUUUUUGGGUUUUUGAAAUUGAAUUUAUCAAUUACUGGAUGGAUACCAUUGAUAGGUUUUAUGCUGCAGUUUGAAAAACACUUCAAGAUAAAUGAAAAAUAUGUGCAGUUUUCUUUAGAUCAGUAAGCUGGAAAUCAGGUUGCUGUAUUUAAAAUUCUCUUUACUGCUGAUUAUAAUCUUGGAAGAGCUAUUUACUGGACUAUUGACUCUGGUUUCUUGUUCUAUAAAAUGGUAUAAUACUUAUUAUUGUUUUAGUCAGUGAAUGGGCUCUAAAGUUGAAUAACAAUGCAUUAGAAAACACUUUGGACAAAUUUUAAGGCAUCUGUUGAUUAAUUCCCUGUCCCCUGUAGUAUUGGAGUUUGAACCCAAGACUCUUGUACUGGGCUACAUCCUUAGCCCAUUUUUAAAUUUUGAGACAGUGUCAUGCUAAAUUGCCUAGGCUUCCUUGAAUUUACAAUCCUCCUAUUUCAGCCUCCCGAGUAACUGGGAUUACAGGUGUUCCUCACCCUGCACCAGGCUUGUUGAUUACCUUUUAAUAGAAGGAGCAUUGGCAAGAAUAAUAAAAAAAAUUUCUGCAUGAUCUAUUUGACAUGUCUAAGUCUAGGGCCCGAUUUUUUACAGUGACUUUAAAGGGCUCACAGGAACUGUUGAGGUGCAUCCUAAACAUUUGGCAGAGGUUCUUUAUUUUUGUGGUGAUGUGGAGCAAAGGGUGUUUCUAAAUGUAGGUCAAAAUUGCUUUCUUGCAAAUAAAGCUGUAAUCAAUAGUUGACCUAAUUUAUAUUUGGUGCUGAAUAAUCCUGAAUGUGGAUCAUUGGUUCUUGACUAAUGAAGAAAUAACUUUAUCCUGUUGACCUGUGGUUUUCAAACUGGAGUAUUUGGACCAUUAGAAACAUGCAACAUUGUGCUAAGAGAUAAACCUUUGUUCACAUAACAUAGCACACAUUUAUGGAAUUAUCAGUUUCACUUGAAGACUUGGGUAAAAAUAUUAUUUUUGUUUUAAAGCAAAAAGAUCAUAUGGAGAAAGCAAUAUUCCAUUAAUCUAAGGUAAAAUUCCGAGACUUCAAAAGCAAUUUCAUGCUAAGAACUCCCUGGGGAUGUGUUUAGUUUCUUCUCUCCUCAAAGGAAAGUCUAAGAAACUUUACCUUGGACUAAUUCAGCUAAUGAAUGGCAUAUCAUUACAUAGCACAAGAAAUAAACUGAAUUGCAAUUUUAAAACUUUGGCUGAUAUUAGGUUCAACAUCACUUGAGUCCUAAUCAUGUCCCCUCCCCUUUUUUAAUCCCUGUUAAAGUCAGAGUGCUAUAGUAGAGAGGUCAUAGGAUUUCAGUCAGAUACAUUCUGUCAUCCCGUUCUUGGCUCUGCAUUUAAUUGCCUCAGAGGCAAAUACCUAACAUCUCUAAGUGUUAGUGUAAUCAUCCAUAAAAUGACAAUCAUAGAGUCAUAAGAAUUACAUAGAUACUAUCUGAAAGUUUUUAGCACAAGGUCUGGCAUGUGGUAUGUAUCUCUGUAUAUUAGGAUACUAAUAAUCCUUUAAACUCAUUCUUAGCAGGAAAUCUUGUUACCCCCCUAACUUUCUUUCUUCUUAGUUUUAUUUUUUUAAAUACACAAUAGCGGAAUGCAUUACAAUUCUUAUUACACAUAUAGAGUACAAUUUUUCAUAUCUUUGUAUAUAGAGUAUGUUCACACCAGUUCAUGCCUUUUCUUUUUUUGCAUAACAAUUCUUAUUACACAUAUAUACCACAAUUUUUCAUAUCUCUUUAUAUAUAAAGUAUGUUGACACCCAAUUUGAGUCUUCAUACAUGUACUUUGGAUAAUGAUGUCCAUCAUAUUCCACUGACCCCCUAACUUUCAAUGGCAUUUUAUAUGUAAUUCUCUUUUGUUAAUCUGUACUUUAUAUUUUAUGUACAUUAUUUUCAUAUGCAAGACUCAAACCCAGGUCUUCAGACUCUAAGUCCCCUGCUGGCCCACAUCCAAGGAUAUUUCACUUUUGAGACCACCACAUUAAAUGGUUAACUCUUACAUAUUUUAACUAUUUUUUUCCUUUUGAAUUUCUAUUCAAGGAUAAAGAUAUCCUUAUAAAAUACUUCACACCUUCCUUAUAACCUUCUUUUGUGACUUCUUGUUUAGCAUAGUAGCUUAAACAUUGUACUUGGUAACUGUAGGUGUGUUCAUAGGUGUGUUGAAACUAAGAAAUACUCAAAUAUUUUUAAAAUGGAUACUAACUUUAAACAAGUAUUACCACAAGUAGGAGUUUCUUCAUGCCAUCUGUUUAAUCUUUAAAUUUCCUCUUUACCUAUCAUUUUUAACAUAAUUGGUCUAAUUGAUCUUCCCAAUGUUUAAAAAAUCACACCUAAAAUAUUUUUAAAAACAAGUCAACUUAUUCCAAAGUAAAUUUUUAUAUUUGCUAUCCAGAGCACAGUAGCUCUCCCAUAGCAUUCAUUAGUAGUCCUUUUGACACAUCGUCCAACUUAGUCAAGCCUAUGAGUUUUGAAGGGAAGAAAUUUAAAUUUAUUGAACACUAAUCACGUUCUCACUACUCUACUAGGAGAUUUAUCUCAUUUUACAAAUCACUAUUCUACUUUAUUUUUUUUUAAAAAUAUUUAUUUAUUUUUUUAGUUAUCGGCAGACACAACAUCUUUGGUGGUAUGUGGUGCUGAGGAUGGAACCCGGGCCGCACGCAUGCCAGACGAGCGCACUACCACUUGAGCCACAUCCCCAGCCCUAUUCUACUUUAUAUAGAGAGAGUACUACAUGAAAAAAGGACAUAAUUUUUACACUGUUUAUACUUGACUCAUUUAAUUAAAAAUGUGUCUUUUUAUGGCUAAGUACAAUGUUUUAUGAUUCUUGUUAUUUGUUGAUAAAGAAAGUGCAACCUGACUAAAAUCUUUGAGAAAGUUUUAUAGAACGAAUAGUUACAGCCUAAAUGUCCAUUUUUGGCUUAACAUUUUUAAUGGUAUUUUGAAAACUUAAAAACAGAAUUAGAUUGCUUUUUUUUUCCCCAACUUUAAGGGAAGCUUUGGAAAUGAAAUUCUGGAAAAUGCAAAACCACAAAUUUUCACUAGUAAAUGAUGAUAUAAAACAACUGUAGGUGUGUUCAUAGUAAAUGUCCACAUUAUGAGAAGUGUUAGUUUCAGUCUAUUAUAGUUGUUGAUCAGAUCAGCCACACUUGAGUAUUGUGUUCUAUUUUAGGUGCUUGAAGAGGGAGAUUUACAAAUAUACCGUGGAGGAUGUUCAGUAUGGUAUGGGAUGUGGAAACUAUGUUUUGUGAAGGCUGGUGUUUGAAAGGAUCCAUUAAACAACAUUAGAUAUGAGAAUAGUGCCCAGUGUUUUUGCAUUGUAAGCAUAGUAAUUAAUCUUGUUUUUGGAUUCUCUUCUAGUUGGUACUUUGAUAUAAAAUAGGAACUUUGAGAUGUAAUUCUAAAAUUUCUUUUUUAUUUUAUUUUAUUUUUUGCUUAUUUAAGUUCCCUAUAAAUAGAAUUGGAAUUUGUGAGUCAAAGUUUUUUUUUUUAAUUUUUUUUUUUUUUUAGUUGUAGUUGGACACAAUAUCUUUAUUUUAUUUUUAUGUGGUGCUGAGGAUAGAACCGAGGGCCUCACACAUGCUAGGCGAGCACUCUACCACUGAGCCACAAUCCCAGCCCCAUGAGUCAAAGUUUUUAUGUCUUUUUUUUUUUUUUUUUUUGGUACCAGAGAUUGAACUCAGGGGCACUUAACCACUGAGCCACAUCCCCCAACCUUUUUUAUUUUUAGAUGGUCUCCCUAAAUUGCUUAGAACCUCCUAAACUGAACUUUGAACUUGUGAUAAUAAUCCUCUUGCCUCAGCCUCCAGACCUACUUGGAUUACAGAUGAGUGCCCCUAGCCCUGUUCACAGAGGGAAUUGAACCACUGAACUAAAUCCUCUGCUUUUUUACUUUUUAUUUUGAGACAGGGUCUUGCUGAAUUGCUUAGGCCAUCGCUAAAUUGCUGAGACUGGUCUUGAACUUGAACCCGUGAUCAUCCUGCCUCAGCCUUCUGAGUUGCUGGAAUUACAGGCGUGUGCCACCGUGUUGGGCUUCUGCAUAUAUAUUUUAUAGGUAAAAAUUUCAUGCUGUCGGGCUGGGGUUGUGGUACAGUGGUA
This 6031-nucleotide long non-coding RNA is filed under the name Marmota monax (woodchuck). The record is from RNAcentral. Lineage: Eukaryota; Metazoa; Chordata; Mammalia; Rodentia; Sciuridae.